RNAcentral lists this non-coding RNA (30 nucleotides) under Mus musculus (house mouse). The record is from RNAcentral. Lineage: Eukaryota; Metazoa; Chordata; Mammalia; Rodentia; Muridae.
UAGCAAUAGAAAACUAAGGCAGGUGCCCAG